RNAcentral lists this ribosomal RNA (460 nucleotides) under uncultured bacterium. RNAcentral's name for it is "bacterial SSU rRNA". It matches the Rfam family "Bacterial small subunit ribosomal RNA", at positions 46 to 525 of the family's 1533-position model. The record is from RNAcentral.
GGAUUAGGCAUGCAAGUCGAGCGCUCAUAGCAAUAUGGGAGCGGCGAACGGCGUAGUAAUACGUAGGAACGUACCCUCGGGUCGAGGAUAGCUAUGGGAAACUGUAGGUAAUACUCGAUGACCUCUGCGGAGCAAAGGUGUGAUUCCGCCCGAGGAGCGGCUUACGCGAUAUUAGCUUGUUGGCGAGGUAACGGCUCACCAAGGCUGCGAUAUCUAGGGGGUGUGAGAGCAUGGCCCCCACCACUGGGACUGAGAUACUGCCCAGACACCUACGGGUGGCUGCAGUCGAGAAUCUUCCGCAAUGGACGAAAGUCUGACGGAGCGACGCCGCGUGCGGGAUGAAGGCCCUUGGGUUGUAAACCGCUGUCAGAGGGGAUGAAAUCGUCGGGGGUACUCCCCCGAUGUUGACAGAGCCUCAAAGGAAGCACGGGCUAAGUACGUGCCAGCAGCCGCGGUAAUA